UCCGAGUUGACCCCGGCAGUCUCCCAUGAGUCCCCGCCAUAACGCGCUGGCAACAUGGAACGAGGGUUGCGCUCGUUGCGGGACUUAACCCAACAUCUCACGACACGAGCUGACGACAACCAUGCACCACCUGUGAACCGGCCCCAAAGGACACCGUAUCUCUACGGCUUUUCCCUGCAUGUCAAACCCAGGUAAGGUUCUUCGCGUUGCCUCGAAUUAAGCCACAUGCUCCGCCGCUUGUGCGGGCCCCCGUCAAUUCCUUUGAGUUUUAGCCUUGCGGCCGUACUCCCCAGGCGGGGCACUUAAUGCGUUAGCUACGGCACGGAACCCGUCGAUCGAGCCCCACACCUAGUGCCCAACGUUUACGGCGUGGACUAC
Molecule: unclassified non-coding RNA, 378 nt
Filed under: uncultured Actinomycetes bacterium
Lineage: Bacteria; Bacillati; Actinomycetota; Actinomycetes
Description: uncultured actinobacterium contains 16S-23S intergenic spacer region
Source: RNAcentral